AGUCUUCUGUAUCCGUGCUGAGAUUGCGUCACACACCAGACCACAAGGGCUAAUGAGACUUCCAAGAUAUGUCAGGUG
This 78-nucleotide microRNA precursor is filed under the name Schistosoma mattheei. Its description in RNAcentral is "mir-3492 microRNA precursor family". It matches the Rfam family "mir-3492 microRNA precursor family". The record is from Rfam by way of RNAcentral. Lineage: Eukaryota; Metazoa; Platyhelminthes; Trematoda; Strigeidida; Schistosomatidae.